This 509-nucleotide ribosomal RNA is filed under the name uncultured bacterium. RNAcentral's name for it is "bacterial SSU rRNA". It matches the Rfam family "Bacterial small subunit ribosomal RNA", at positions 28 to 526 of the family's 1533-position model. The record is from RNAcentral.
GAUGAACGCUAGCUACAGGCUUAACACAUGCAAGUCGAGGGGCAGCAUGAUCGAAGCUUGCUUUGAUUGAUGGCGACCGGCGCACGGGUGAGUAACGCGUAUCCAACCUUCCCUAUAGUAGAGAAUAGCCCGGCGAAAGUCGGAUUAAUGCUCUAUGUUGUAUUUAGAAGACAUCUGAAGAAUACCAAAGGUUUACCGCUAUAGGAUGGGGAUGCGUCUGAUUAGGUAGUAGGCGGGGUAACGGCCCACCUAGCCGACGAUCAGUAGGGGUUCUGAGAGGAAGGUCCCCCACAUUGGAACUGAGACACGGUCCAAACUCCUACGGGAGGCAGCAGUGAGGAAUAUUGGUCAAUGGACGGAAGUCUGAACCAGCCAAGUAGCGUGCAGGAUGACGGCCCUAUGGGUUGUAAACUGCUUUUAUAUAGGGAUAAAGUCGGGGACGUGUCCCCGUUUGUAGGUACUAUAUGAAUAAGGACCGGCUAAUUCCGUGCCAGCCGCCGCCGUAAAAC